This 1382-nucleotide long non-coding RNA is filed under the name Marmota monax (woodchuck). The record is from RNAcentral. Lineage: Eukaryota; Metazoa; Chordata; Mammalia; Rodentia; Sciuridae.
GGCAGAAGGAUCACCAGUGGCGGGUCAGUGUGGGCAUCUUAACAAAAUUGAGCCUUAAAAGAAAAAAUUAAAAACAUCAGAAAGUGUGUGUGUAUAUAUACAUGGUUCAGUACUAAAGCAUUCCUGGGUUCAAAAUAAAAGGGAGAGAAAGAAGGAAAGAAAAGAGAAAUGAAAUCCGAUGUCUGGAAUAUUAAAGAUAUUCCAGCCCUCACCUCUGCCUCCCCCAAAUUGCAGAUUACAUGAAACAAUACAGACAGAGGUCCUACUACCAACCCUGUCCCACGCAGGUGUCUCCUUGGGGCGGCCCUUCCUGAGCAGCACUCACCGUGGCUUACUGUCUCUUACAGCGCGAACAGGUCAGACCCCCGAGGAAUCAAGUCAGCCGGUAGCGAAUUUGCAUCGCCCCGCCUCUGCACUAACGACUGUCAACGUUGGCCAACAUCCACCGAGAGAGAAGCGUGCGCUGCCAGGCCCCCCGCGCCACUGCACCUGCAGACUCCACUACCCCGGCACAAGACAGCCAGGACCUAGAAGACCAGGGGUUUGCGAGGGCUGCGCCAUUGAGCUUGGGCGGUAGAAUACUGCCCGGCAUUAAGUGGCAUUGGGAACUCUGGACGCAACGGACCUUUAAGGCUGUGGGUGGGAAUCCAGACCACAACUUCUGGUUCAGUGCCCCACUCCCUCUGCUUUUCGGACCGGUGCAGGGGUGUUUAGUUGAGCUUCUGUCCAUUAGCGCCAAGUGUACUGGGCGCUCAGCAGUGGCUGACUUGAUCAAAUUGGCCUAUAUUUUACCAAAUACCCCAAGGUCAAAGCGCUGCACUCGAGAAUCCAAACCCUGCAUUCUGGUCCUGGCUUUUGUCAGCUUAUAGCAUGUUUGGAGUUUCAUUAUUUUGUCUCUAAAACAGAGGAACCCUGCCCUGCCACCUCCACAGAGCUGUGCAGUAUCUUCAGCCUCAAGAGAUGAAUGCGUCUAAGUGAAAGCGCUCUGGAGAUGACAGUUCCGUGGAAUUGUUCCUACUCCGUGCACGGCACCGCCCUGCAAAGGUGGAAGAAGUUACGACUUUUUUUCAAAGGGCUCACCUUCAAAUUAGGACAAAACAUCCCUUCUGCUCCCUAAAGUUUCUCCUUUUUUCAGUUGGGAAUUGGGCUAGUUGAUUCUCAACUUUUCUGAAAGUAUGAUUCUAUAAAAUAACAGGGAGCACUUUAUGCAAGCGUUCCUGGGAAUGACUCUGGAAAUUGUCUGGACUUCCGGACAGGGCAGGAGUAUCAGGAAGAACUGCUGGAACCUGGAGGAAAGGUUUUUGAGGAGAGAAGCCAGUGUUCCAACAAGCUGUGUAAAAGCUUGCAUGUGGGAAUUUUCAAAAGGUUAUGCCAGAGUCAGU